RNAcentral lists this ribosomal RNA (700 nucleotides) under uncultured Comamonadaceae bacterium. Its description in RNAcentral is "bacterial SSU rRNA". It matches the Rfam family "Bacterial small subunit ribosomal RNA", at positions 61 to 762 of the family's 1533-position model. The record is from RNAcentral. Lineage: Bacteria; Pseudomonadati; Pseudomonadota; Betaproteobacteria; Burkholderiales; Comamonadaceae.
GUCGAACGGUAGAGUAGCAAUACUUGAGAGUGGCGAACGGGUGAGUAAUAUAUCGGAACGUGCCCAGUCGUGGGGGAUAACGUAGCGAAAGCUACGCUAAUACCGCAUACGAUCUAUGGAUGAAAGCGGGGGAUCGCAAGACCUCGCGCGACUGGAGCGGCCGAUAUCAGAUUAGCUAGUUGGUGGGGUAAAAGCUCACCAAGGCGACGAUCUGUAGCUGGUCUGAGAGGACGACCAGCCACACUGGGACUGAGACACGGCCCAGACUCCUACGGGAGGCAGCAGUGGGGAAUUUUGGACAAUGGGCGAAAGCCUGAUCCAGCAAUGCCGCGUGCAGGAUGAAGGCCCUCGGGUUGUAAACUGCUUUUGUACGGAGCGAAACGGCUUCUCCUAAUACGAGGAGCUAAUGACGGUACCGUAAGAAUAAGCACCGGCUAACUACGUGCCAGCAGCCGCGGUAAUACGUAGGGUGCAAGCGUUAAUCGGAAUUACUGGGCGUAAAGCGUGCGCAGGCGGUUAUAUAAGACAGAUGUGAAAUCCCUGGGCUCAACCUAGGAACUGCAUCUGUGACUGUAUAGCUAGAGUACGGUAGAGGGGGAUGGAAUUCCGCGUGUAGCAGUGAAAUGCGCAGAUAUGCGGAGGAACACCGAUGGCGAAGGCAAUCCCCUGGACCUGUACUGACGCUCAUGCACGAAAGCGU